AGUGCCCUGCAAUGCCCGUGAAAAGGCCGCAAGUUCUGAGCCAACACCAAUACAAAGGGAGCCUGGUCUCUGGACGUGGCUUGUAGGCCCCUGCGAGGGGAAACAAAAAGCGUCCAGGAGGGCACCCACCUUUCGAGAGAGGGUUCAUGGAAACUGCGGCACCUCACGGCAUGUGUGGGGUUUUA
This 185-nucleotide non-coding RNA is filed under the name Thermanaeromonas toyohensis ToBE. Its description in RNAcentral is "6S / SsrS RNA". It matches the Rfam family "6S / SsrS RNA". Rfam says of the family: E. coli 6S RNA was the first non coding RNA to be sequenced, but its function was unknown until recently. It consists of 184 nucleotides that fold into an extended hairpin structure with a large single-stranded internal bulge. The record is from Rfam by way of RNAcentral. Lineage: Bacteria; Bacillati; Bacillota; Clostridia; Neomoorellales; Neomoorellaceae.